CGCCGGCGACCGGCGCACGGUGAGUAACACGUAUGCAACCUGGCCGUGACAGAUGGAUAACCGGGAGAAAUCCCGCCUAAUACAACAUAAUGCCGGGAGGGGACAUCCCCUGCCGGCCAAAGGGGGCGACCCCGGUCACGGAUGGGCAUGCGGCGCAUUAGGUAGUUGGUGGGGCAACGGCCCACCAAGCCGACGAUGCGUAGGGGUUCUGAGAGGAAGGUCCCCCACAUUGGAACUGAGACACGGUCCAAACUCCUACGGGAGGCAGCAG
This 271-nucleotide ribosomal RNA is filed under the name uncultured bacterium. RNAcentral's name for it is "partial 16S ribosomal RNA". It matches the Rfam family "Bacterial small subunit ribosomal RNA", at positions 86 to 354 of the family's 1533-position model. The record is from RNAcentral.